Molecule: ribosomal RNA, 497 nt
Filed under: uncultured bacterium
Lineage: Bacteria
Description: partial 16S ribosomal RNA
Rfam family: Bacterial small subunit ribosomal RNA
Source: RNAcentral
GAUGAACGCUGGCGGCGUGCCUAAUACAUGCAAGUCGAGCGAACGGACGAGAAGCUUGCUUCUCUGAUGUUAGCGGCGGACGGGUGAGUAACACGUGGAUAACCUACCUAUAAGACUGGGAUAACUUCGGGAAACCGGAGCUAAUACCGGAUAAUAUUUUGAACCGCAUGGUUCAAAAGUGAAAGACGGUCUUGCUGUCACUUAUAGAUGGAUCCGCGCUGCAUUAGCUAGUUGGUAAGGUAACGGCCUACCAAGGCAACGAUGCAUAGCCGACCUGAGAGGGUGAUCGGCCACACUGGAACUGAGACACGGUCCAGACUCCCACGGGAGGCAGCAGUAGGGAAUCUUCCGCAAUGGGCGAAAGCCUGACGGAGCAACGCCGCGUGAGUGAUGAAGGUCUUCGGAUCGUAAAACUCUGUUAUUAGGGAAGAACAUAUGUGUAAGUAACUGUGCACAUCUUGACGGUACCUAAUCAGAAAGCCACGGCUAACUACGUG